RNAcentral lists this ribosomal RNA (483 nucleotides) under uncultured bacterium. RNAcentral describes it as "bacterial SSU rRNA". It matches the Rfam family "Bacterial small subunit ribosomal RNA", at positions 29 to 532 of the family's 1533-position model. The record is from RNAcentral.
AACGAACGCUGGCGGCAGGCUUAACACAUGCAAGUCGAGCGCGUAGCAAUACGAGCGGCAGACGGGUGAGUAACGCGUGGGAACGUACCCUUUUCUACGGAAUAACGCAGGGAAACUUGUGCUAAUACCGUAUACGCCCUUUUGGGGAAAGAUUUAUCGGGGAAGGAUCGGCCCGCGUUGGAUUAGCUAGUUGGUGGGGUAAAGGCCUACCAAGGCGACGAUCCAUAGCUGGUCUGAGAGGAUGAUCAGCCACAUUGGGACUGAGACACGGCCCAAACUCCUACGGGAGGCAGCAGUGGGGAAUAUUGGACAAUGGGCGCAAGCCUGAUCCAGCCAUGCCGCGUGAGUGAUGAAGGCCCUAGGGUUGUAAAGCUCUUUUGUCCGGAAAGAAAAGCAUCUGGUUAAUACCCGGGUGUUCUGACGGUACCGGAAGAAUAAGCACCGGCUAACUUCGUGCCAGCAGCCGCGGUAAGGCACGACUGU